This 494-nucleotide ribosomal RNA is filed under the name uncultured Pseudomonas sp. Its description in RNAcentral is "bacterial SSU rRNA". It matches the Rfam family "Bacterial small subunit ribosomal RNA", at positions 8 to 498 of the family's 1533-position model. Lineage: Bacteria; Pseudomonadati; Pseudomonadota; Gammaproteobacteria; Pseudomonadales; Pseudomonadaceae. The record is from RNAcentral.
AGAGUUUGAUCCUGGCUCAGAUUGAACGCUGGCGGCAGGCCUAACACAUGCAAGUCGAGCGGAUGAGUGGAGCUUGCUCCAUGAUUCAGCGGCGGACGGGUGAGUAAUGCCUAGGAAUCUGCCUGGUAGUGGGGGACAACGUUUCGAAAGGAACGCUAAUACCGCAUACGUCCUACGGGAGAAAGUGGGGGAUCUUCGGACCUCACGCUAUCAGAUGAGCCUAGGUCGGAUUAGCUAGUUGGUGAGGUAAAGGCUCACCAAGGCGACGAUCCGUAACUGGUCUGAGAGGAUGAUCAGUCACACUGGAAAUGAGACACGGUCCAGACUCCUACGGGAGGCAGCAGUGGGGAAUAUUGGACAAUGGGCGAAAGCCUGAUCCAGCCAUGCCGCGUGUGUGAAGAAGGUCUUCGGAUUGUAAAACACUUUAAGUUGGGAGGAAGGGCAGUAAGUUAAUACCUUGCUGUUUUGACGUUACCGACAGAAUAGCCCCGGAG